UGGUAAACGCGAAAAAAAUCUCAGCUCUCAGCUCUGAUUGUAAAAUCAAGUGGUUCGUGUAUUAAACAGUAUGUACUAUUGAGCUAUUGAACUUUGUUAGUUGCUGCAUGCUUUAAGGCGUUAAGCCAUCUGAAAUAAGGGUUUUAAAGGCAACGCGCUGAAAGUCGGAUUAAGGCGUGGACGGCGUGAUUUUGAGAUUUUACGGUUUUUAGUGGACUUUAAAUAUUGAUUCAAAACCAAAAAAUAUUAAAUACAAAAUAUUUAUGCUAAAAAGAUUAGAAAAAAGUAAACUCUUAUAAAAACUGCACAUUAUAUACUAGAAUAAAGCAAAGAAUAAC
Molecule: long non-coding RNA, 338 nt
Organism: Rhagoletis zephyria (snowberry fruit fly)
Lineage: Eukaryota; Metazoa; Arthropoda; Insecta; Diptera; Tephritidae
Source: RefSeq, a predicted model, not a curated record